UCCGAGUUGACCCCGGCAGUCUCCUAUGAGUCCCCACCAUUACGUGCUGGCAACAUAGAACGAGGGUUGCGCUCGUUGCGGGACUUAACCCAACAUUUCACAACACGAGCUGACGACAGCCAUGCAGCACCUGUGUUACGGCUCUCUUUCGAGCACUCCUCCAUCUCUGGAGGAUUCCGUACAUGUCAAAGGUGGGUAAGGUUUUUCGCGUUGCAUCGAAUUAAACCACAUCAUCCACCGCUUGUGCGGGUCCCCGUCAAUUCCUUUGAGUUUUAAUCUUGCGACCGUACUCCCCAGGCGGGAUGCUUAUUGCGUUAGCUGCGCCACUGACGGGCAAGCCCGCCAACGGCUGGCAUCCAUCGUUUACGGCGUGGACUAC
RNAcentral lists this unclassified non-coding RNA (379 nucleotides) under uncultured bacterium. RNAcentral's name for it is "contains 16S-23S intergenic spacer region". The record is from RNAcentral.